UACCGGGGAGCUUUAUUGCUGAGAGUAGUUGUCAAUGGCAACUUAACCCGUCAAACCUGAUUCGGAUAAUACCGACGAAGGGAGUAUCUUUUA
This 93-nucleotide non-coding RNA is filed under the name uncultured Leptotrichia sp. Its description in RNAcentral is "TPP riboswitch (THI element)". It matches the Rfam family "TPP riboswitch aptamer (THI element)", at positions 8 to 91 of the family's 105-position model. Rfam says of the family: Vitamin B(1) in its active form thiamin pyrophosphate (TPP) is an essential coenzyme that is synthesised by coupling of pyrimidine and thiazole moieties in bacteria. The record is from RNAcentral. Lineage: Bacteria; Fusobacteriati; Fusobacteriota; Fusobacteriia; Fusobacteriales; Leptotrichiaceae.